AAAUUGAAGAGUUUGAUCAUGGCUCAGAUUGAACGCUGGCGGCAGGCCUAACACAUGCAAGUCGAACGGUAACAGGAAGAAGCUUGCUUCUUUGCUGACGAGUGGCGGACGGGUGAGUAAUGUCUGGGAAACUGCCUGAUGGAGGGGGAUAACUACUGGAAACGGUAGCUAAUACCGCAUAACGUCGCAAGACCAAAGAGGGGGACCUUCGGGCCUCUUGCCAUCGGAUGUGCCCAGAUGGGAUUAGCUAGUAGGUGGGGUAACGGCUCACCUAGGCGACGAUCCCUAGCUGGUCUGAGAGGAUGACCAGCCACACUGGAACUGAGACACGGUCCAGACUCCUACGGGAGGCAGCAGUGGGGAAUAUUGCACAAUGGGCGCAAGCCUGAUGCAGCCAUGCCGCGUGUAUGAAGAAGGCCUUCGGGUUGUAAAGUACUUUCAGCGGGGAGGAAGGGAGUAAAGUUAAUACCUUUGCUCAUUGACGUUACCCGCAGAAGAAGCACCGGCUAACUCCGUGCCAGCAGCCGCGGUAAUACGGAGGGUGCAAGCGUUAAUCGGAAUUACUGGGCGUAAAGCGCACGCAGGCGGUUUGUUAAGUCAGAUGUGAAAUCCCCGGGCUCAACCUGGGAACUGCAUCUGAUACUGGCAAGCUUGAGUCUCGUAGAGGGGGGUAGAAUUCCAGUGUAGCGGUGAAAUGCGUAGAGAUCUGGAGGAAUACCGGUGGCGAAGGCGGCCCCUGGACGAAGACUGACGCUCAGGUGCGAAAGCGUGGGAGCAAACAGGAUUAGAUACCCUGGUAGUCCACGCCGUAAACGAUGUCGACUUGGAGGUUGUGCCCUUGAGGCGUGGCUUCCGGAGCUAACGCGUUAAGUCGACCGCCUGGGGAGUACGGCCGCAAGGUUAAAACUCAAAUGAAUUGACGGGGGCCCGCACAAGCGGUGGAGCAUGUGGUUUAAUUCGAUGCAACGCGAAGAACCUUACCUGGUCUUGACAUCCACGGAAGUUUUCAGAGAUGAGAAUGUGCCUUCGGGAACCGUGAGACAGGUGCUGCAUGGCUGUCGUCAGCUCGUGUUGUGAAAUGUUGGGUUAAGUCCCGCAACGAGCGCAACCCUUAUCCUUUGUUGCCAGCGGUCCGGCCGGGAACUCAAAGGAGACUGCCAGUGAUAAACUGGAGGAAGGUGGGGAUGACGUCAAGUCAUCAUGGCCCUUACGACCAGGGCUACACACGUGCUACAAUGGCGCAUACAAAGAGAAGCGACCUCGCGAGAGCAAGCGGACCUCAUAAAGUGCGUCGUAGUCCGGAUUGGAGUCUGCAACUCGACUCCAUGAAGUCGGAAUCGCUAGUAAUCGUGGAUCAGAAUGCCACGGUGAAUACGUUCCCGGGCCUUGUACACACCGCCCGUCACACCAUGGGAGUGGGUUGCAAAAAGAAGUAGGUAGCUUAACCUUCGGGAGGGCGCUUACCACUUUGUGAUUCAUGACUGGGGUGAAGUCGUAACAAGGUAACCGUAGGGGAACCUGCGGUUGGAUCACCUCCUUA
This 1540-nucleotide ribosomal RNA is filed under the name Escherichia coli. Its description in RNAcentral is "bacterial SSU rRNA". It matches the Rfam family "Bacterial small subunit ribosomal RNA". Lineage: Bacteria; Pseudomonadati; Pseudomonadota; Gammaproteobacteria; Enterobacterales; Enterobacteriaceae. The record is from RNAcentral.